CCCUUAGAUGUUCUGGGCCGCACGCGCGCUACACUGAUCAGUGCAACAAGCAUCCGUCCUUGGCCGACAGGCCCGGGCAAUCUUUGAACACUGAUCGUGAUGGGGAUAGACUUUUGCAAUUUUUGGUCUUCAACGAGGAAUUCCUAGUAAACGCAAGUCAUCAACUUGCAUUGAUUACGUCCCUGCCCUUUGUACACACCGCCCGUCGCACCUACCGAUUGAAUGGUCCGGUGAAGCCUCCGGAUUGGCGUGCACCCUCGGGUGCUGCCGAGAAGUUGGCUAAACCUUACCAUUUAGAGGAAGGUGAAGUCGUAACA
Molecule: ribosomal RNA, 317 nt
Filed under: uncultured eukaryote
Lineage: Eukaryota
Description: partial 18S ribosomal RNA
Rfam family: Eukaryotic small subunit ribosomal RNA
Source: RNAcentral